This 564-nucleotide ribosomal RNA is filed under the name uncultured Glomeromycotina. RNAcentral describes it as "SSU rRNA". It matches the Rfam family "Eukaryotic small subunit ribosomal RNA", at positions 548 to 1114 of the family's 1831-position model. Lineage: Eukaryota; Fungi; Glomeromycota. The record is from RNAcentral.
UUGGAGGGCAAGUCUGGUGCCGCAGCCGCGGUAAUUCCAGCUCCAAUAGCGUAUAUUAAUGUUGUUGCAGUUAAAAAGCUCGUAGUUGAAUUUCGGGGUUAGUAGGUUGGUCAUGCCUCUGGUAUGUACUGGUCUCACUGAUUCCUCCUUCCUGAUGAACCUUAAUGCCAUUAAUUUGGUGUUUUGGGGAAUUUGGACUGUUACUUUGAAAAAAUUAGAGUGUUUAAAGCAAGCUAACGCUUGAAUACAUUAGCAUGGAAUAAUGAAAUAGGACGUUCGAUCCUAUUUUGUUGGUUUCUAGGAUUGACGUAAUGAUUAAUAGGGAUAGUUGGGGGCAUUAGUAUUCAAUUGUCAGAGGUGAAAUUCUUGGAUUUAUUGAAGACUAACUACUGCGAAAGCAUUUGCCAAGGAUGUUUUCAUUAAUCAAGAACGAAAGUUAGGGGAUCGAAGACGAUCAGAUACCGUCGUAGUCUUAACCAUAAACUAUGCCGACUAGGGAUCGGAUGAUGUUAAUUUUUUAAUGACUCAUCCGGCGCCUUACGGGAAACCAAAGUGUUUGGGUUC